UCAGUAUAGGAGGUCAGCCUGCCCAGUGACCACAAGUUCAACGGCCGCGGUAUUUUGACCGUGCAAAGGUAGCGCAAUCACUUGUCUUUUAAAUAAAGACCUGUAUGAACGGCUAAACGAGGGCUUGACUGUCUCCCUUUUCAAGUCAGUGAAAUUGAUCUAUCCGUGCAGAAGCGGGUAUAACAAUACAAGACGAGAAGACCCUUUGGAGCUUAAGGUACAAAACUCAACCACGUCAAGCAACUUAACAAAAAGUAAAAACUUUGUGAAGCAUGAGAUUUUACCUUCGGUUGGGGCGACCACGGAGGAAAAUAAAGCCUCCAAGUGGACCGGGACAAACUCCUAAAACCAAGAGAAACAUCUCUAAGCCACAGAACAUCUGACCAAACAUGAUCCGGCCACCAGGACCGAUCAACGAACCAAGUUACCCUAGGGAUAACAGCGCAAUCCUCUCCCAGAGUCCAUAUCGACGAGAGGGUUUACGACCUCGAUGUUGGAUCAGGACAUCCUAAUGGUGCAGCCGCUAUUAAGGGUUCGUUUGUUCAACGAUUAAAGUCCUACGUGAUCUGAUUCCAGACCGG
This 581-nucleotide ribosomal RNA is filed under the name Hypselobarbus mussullah. Its description in RNAcentral is "partial 16S ribosomal RNA". It matches the Rfam family "Bacterial large subunit ribosomal RNA", at positions 1840 to 2619 of the family's 2925-position model. Lineage: Eukaryota; Metazoa; Chordata; Actinopteri; Cypriniformes; Cyprinidae. RNAcentral also lists the same sequence under 1 other name. The record is from RNAcentral.